This is a non-coding RNA of Stygiomarasmius scandens, 81 nucleotides long. The record is from the annotation of a GenBank genome assembly. Lineage: Eukaryota; Fungi; Basidiomycota; Agaricomycetes; Agaricales; Campanellaceae.
GCCCGCCUAGCUCAAUCGGAUAGAGCGUCAGACUCUUAUGGCGGGAUCUGAAGGCUGCGAGUUCGACCCUCGCGGUGGGCU